ACGUGUAUCAACUAUUCAUCCAUACUUUGUUUACAUUUUCCUAGAUGAUAUAAAGGGCAUGGUUGCUUACAUUUUCUUCUAUUGUGAUCCGUACUACCAUACCUUCCACAACUUGUUGAAUGGUAUAAUUCUAACCUUAUUUUUCGCCCUUUUUUUGGUCUCCUUGGUUGUCUCUUCGAUAUAGGCAGCAAUAUCUCACCAUGGCAUCAGUAUUUAUCGACCUUCCAUUGUUCAUCAUCUCCAAGUGGUACAACAUUUUCAGCAUAAGAAGCGAGAUAACCAUCCUUCUGUGGUUUCGUGAACCAUUGUAUGGAUUAUCCCCUUUAUCACCGAUGACAGCUAAGGCGUG
This 349-nucleotide long non-coding RNA is filed under the name Olea europaea subsp. europaea. Lineage: Eukaryota; Viridiplantae; Streptophyta; Magnoliopsida; Lamiales; Oleaceae. The record is from RNAcentral.